RNAcentral lists this non-coding RNA (30 nucleotides) under Rattus norvegicus (Norway rat). Lineage: Eukaryota; Metazoa; Chordata; Mammalia; Rodentia; Muridae. The record is from RNAcentral.
UAACAAUGAAUUUCCCACCUGUUUGAGCCA